RNAcentral lists this ribosomal RNA (468 nucleotides) under uncultured bacterium. Its description in RNAcentral is "partial 16S ribosomal RNA". It matches the Rfam family "Bacterial small subunit ribosomal RNA", at positions 28 to 507 of the family's 1533-position model. The record is from RNAcentral.
GACGAACGCUGGCGGCGUGCUUAACACAUGCAAGUCGAACGGAAAGACCCUGCUUUUGUGGGGUGCUCGAGUGGCGAACGGGUGAGUAACACGUGAGUAACCUGCCCUUGACUUUGGGAUAACUUCAGGAAACUGGGGCUAAUACCGGAUAGGAGCUCCUGCUGCAUGGUGGGGGUUGGAAAGUUUCGGCGGUUGGGGAUGGACUGGCGGCUUAUCAGCUUGUUGGUGGGGUAGUGGCUUACCAAGGCUUUGACGGGUAGUCGGCCUGAGAGGGUGAACGGCCACAUUGGGACUGAGAUACGGCCCAGACUCCUACGGGAGGCAGCGGUGGGGAAUAUUGCACAGUGGGCGGAAGCCUGAUGCAGCAACGCCGCGUGCGGGAUGACGGCCUUCGGGUUGUAAACCGCUUUCGCCUGUGACGAAGCGUGAGUGACGGUAAUGGGUAAAGAAGCACCGGCUAACUACGUG